AUUGAACGCUGGCGGCAGGCUUAACACAUGCAAGUCGAACGAUGAUUAUCUAGCUUGCUAGAUAUGAUUAGUGGCGGACGGGUGAGUAACAUUUAGGAAUCUGCCUAGUAGUGGGGGAUAGCUCGGGGAAACUCGAAUUAAUACCGCAUACGACCUACGGGUGAAAGGGGGCGCAAGCUCUUGCUAUUAGAUGAGCCUAAAUCAGAUUAGCUAGUUGGUGGGGUAAAGGCCCACCAAGGCGACGAUCUGUAACUGGUCUGAGAGGAUGAUCAGUCACACCGGAACUGAGACACGGUCCGGACUCCUACGGGGGGCAGCAGUGGGGAAUAUUGGACAAUGGGGGCAACCCUGAUCCAGCCAUGCCGCGUGUGUGAAGAAGGCCUUUUGGUUGUAAAGCACUUUAAGCAGGGAGGAGAGGCUAAUGGUUAAUACCCAUUAGAUUAGACGUUACCUGCAGAAUAAGCACCGGCUAACUCUGUGCCAGCAGCCGCGGUAAUACAGAGGGUGCGAGCGUUAAUCGGAAUUACUGGGCGUAAAGCGAGUGUAGGUGGCUCAUUAAGUCACAUGUGAAAUCCCCGGGCUUAACCUGGGAACUGCAUGUGAUACUGGUGGUGCUAGAAUAUGUGAGAGGGAAGUAGAAUUCCAGGUGUAGCGGUGAAAUGCGUAGAGAUCUGGAGGAAUACCGAUGGCGAAGGCAGCUUCCUGGCAUAAUAUUGACACUGAGAUUCGAAAGCGUGGGUAGCAAACAGGAUUAGAUACCCUGGUAGUCCACGCCGUAAACGAUGUCUACUAGCCGUUGGGGUCCUUGAGACUUUAGUGGCGCAGUUAACGCGAUAAGUAGACCGCCUGGGGAGUACGGCCGCAAGGUUAAAACUCAAAUGAAUUGACGGGGGCCCGCACAAGCGGUGGAGCAUGUGGUUUAAUUCGAUGCAACGCGAAGAACCUUACCUGGUCUUGACAUAGUGAGAAUCCUGCAGAGAUGCGGGAAUGCCUUCGGGAAUUCACAUACAGGUGCUGCAUGGCUGUCGUCAGCUCGUGUCGUGAGAUGUUGGGUUAAGUCCCGCAACGAGCGCAACCCUUUUCCUUAUUUGCCAGCGGGUUAAGCCGGGAACUUUAAGGAUACUGCCAGUGACAAACUGGAGGAAGGCGGGGACGACGUCAAGUCAUCAUGGCCCUUACGACCAGGGCUACACACGUGCUACAAUGGUAGGUACAGAGGGUUGCUACACAGCGAUGUGAUGCUAAUCUCAAAAAGCCUAUCGUAGUCCGGAUUGGAGUCUGCAACUCGACUCCAUGAAGUCGGAAUCGCUAGUAAUCGCAGAUCAGAAUGCUGCGGUGAAUACGUUCCCGGGCCU
This 1355-nucleotide ribosomal RNA is filed under the name uncultured bacterium. RNAcentral describes it as "bacterial SSU rRNA". It matches the Rfam family "Bacterial small subunit ribosomal RNA", at positions 28 to 1381 of the family's 1533-position model. The record is from RNAcentral.